GCAUCCUGAUUUUAUGUUUUUGGUUGGGGUGACCGCGGAGAAAAACUUAUCCUCCGUAAUGAAUAAGCAAUAAGUUACAACUUUACGCAUUAAAAAAUUAACAUACCGACCCAAAUGUAUUGAUCAAUGAACCAAGUUACCCCAGGGAUAACAGCACAAUCCACUUUGAGAGCCCCUAUCGACAAGUGGGCUUAUGACCUCGAUGUUGGAUCGAGG
This 216-nucleotide ribosomal RNA is filed under the name Pristimantis delius. RNAcentral's name for it is "partial 16S ribosomal RNA". It matches the Rfam family "Bacterial large subunit ribosomal RNA", at positions 2251 to 2542 of the family's 2925-position model. Lineage: Eukaryota; Metazoa; Chordata; Amphibia; Anura; Strabomantidae. The record is from RNAcentral.